AAAUUGAAGAGUUUGAUCAUGGCUCAGAUUGAACGCUGGCGGCAGGCCUAACACAUGCAAGUCGAACGGUAGCACAGAGAGCUUGCUCUCGGGUGACGAGUGGCGGACGGGUGAGUAAUGUCUGGGAAACUGCCUGAUGGAGGGGGAUAACUACUGGAAACGGUGGCUAAUACCGCAUAACGUCGCAAGACCAAAGAGGGGGACCUUCGGGCCUCUUGCCAUCAGAUGUGCCCAGAUGGGAUUAGCUUGUUGGUGAGGUAACGGCUCACCAAGGCGACGAUCCCUAGCUGGUCUGAGAGGAUGACCAGCCACACUGGAACUGAGACACGGUCCAGACUCCUACGGGAGGCAGCAGUGGGGAAUAUUGCACAAUGGGCGCAAGCCUGAUGCAGCCAUGCCGCGUGUAUGAAGAAGGCCUUCGGGUUGUAAAGUACUUUCAGCGGGGAGGAAGGUGUUGUGGUUAAUAACCACAGCAAUUGACGUUACCCGCAGAAGAAGCACCGGCUAACUCCGUGCCAGCAGCCGCGGUAAUACGGAGGGUGCAAGCGUUAAUCGGAAUUACUGGGCGUAAAGCGCACGCAGGCGGUCUGUCAAGUCGGAUGUGAAAUCCCCGGGCUCAACCUGGGAACUGCAUUCGAAACUGGCAGGCUUGAGUCUUGUAGAGGGGGGUAGAAUUCCAGGUGUAGCGGUGAAAUGCGUAGAGAUCUGGAGGAAUACCGGUGGCGAAGGCGGCCCCCUGGACAAAGACUGACGCUCAGGUGCGAAAGCGUGGGGAGCAAACAGGAUUAGAUACCCUGGUAGUCCACGCCGUAAACGAUGUCUACUUGGAGGUUGUGCCCUUGAGGCGUGGCUUCCGGAGCUAACGCGUUAAGUAGACCGCCUGGGGAGUACGGCCGCAAGGUUAAAACUCAAAUGAAUUGACGGGGGCCCGCACAAGCGGUGGAGCAUGUGGUUUAAUUCGAUGCAACGCGAAGAACCUUACCUGGUCUUGACAUCCACAGAAGAAUCCAGAGAUGGAUUUGUGCCUUCGGGAACUGUGAGACAGGUGCUGCAUGGCUGUCGUCAGCUCGUGUUGUGAAAUGUUGGGUUAAGUCCCGCAACGAGCGCAACCCUUAUCCUUUGUUGCCAGCGGUCCGGCCGGGAACUCAAAGGAGACUGCCAGUGAUAAACUGGAGGAAGGUGGGGAUGACGUCAAGUCAUCAUGGCCCUUACGACCAGGGCUACACACGUGCUACAAUGGCGCAUACAAAGAGAAGCGACCUCGCGAGAGCAAGCGGACCUCAUAAAGUGCGUCGUAGUCCGGAUUGGAGUCUGCAACUCGACUCCAUGAAGUCGGAAUCGCUAGUAAUCGUGGAUCAGAAUGCCACGGUGAAUACGUUCCCGGGCCUUGUACACACCGCCCGUCACACCAUGGGAGUGGGUUGCAAAAGAAGUAGGUAGCUUAACCUUCGGGAGGGCGCUUACCACUUUGUGAUUCAUGACUGGGGUGAAGUCGUAACAAGGUAACCGUAGGGGAACCUGCGGUUGGAUCACCUCCUUA
RNAcentral lists this ribosomal RNA (1540 nucleotides) under Salmonella enterica subsp. enterica serovar Infantis. RNAcentral describes it as "bacterial SSU rRNA". It matches the Rfam family "Bacterial small subunit ribosomal RNA". Lineage: Bacteria; Pseudomonadati; Pseudomonadota; Gammaproteobacteria; Enterobacterales; Enterobacteriaceae. RNAcentral also lists the same sequence under 1 other name. The record is from RNAcentral.